This 75-nucleotide transfer RNA is filed under the name Mobiluncus mulieris. RNAcentral describes it as "tRNA-Arg(ccg)". It matches the Rfam family "tRNA". Rfam says of the family: Transfer RNA (tRNA) molecules are approximately 80 nucleotides in length. Their secondary structure includes four short double-helical elements and three loops (D, anti-codon, and T loops). Lineage: Bacteria; Bacillati; Actinomycetota; Actinomycetes; Actinomycetales; Actinomycetaceae. The record is from RNAcentral.
GCCCCGGUAGCUCAGUGGAUAGAGCGUUUGCCUCCGGAGCAAAAGGUCGUGGGUUCGAAUCCCGUCCGGGGCACC